RNAcentral lists this ribosomal RNA (450 nucleotides) under uncultured bacterium. Its description in RNAcentral is "partial 16S ribosomal RNA". It matches the Rfam family "Bacterial small subunit ribosomal RNA", at positions 354 to 796 of the family's 1533-position model. The record is from RNAcentral.
GUGGGGAAUUUUGGACAAUGGGCGCAAGCCUGAUCCAGCAAUGCCGCGUGCAGGAAGAAGGCCUUCGGGUUGUAAACUGCUUUUGUACGGAACGAAACGGUCCUGGCUAAUACCUGGGGCUAAUGACGGUACCGUAAGAAUAAGCACCGGCUAACUACGUGCCAGCAGCCGCGGUAAUACGUAGGGUGCGAGCGUUAAUCGGAAUUACUGGGCGUAAAGCGUGCGCAGGCAGUGCUGUAAGACAGGCGUGAAAUCCCCGGGCUCAACCUGGGAAUUGCGCUUGUGACUGCAGUGCUGGAGUGCGGCAGAGGGGGAUGGAAUUCCGCGUGUAGCAGUGAAAUGCGUAGAUAUGCGGAGGAACACCGAUGGCGAAGGCAAUCCCCUGGGCCUGCACUGACGCUCAUGCACGAAAGCGUGGGGAGCAAACAGGAUUAGAAACCCCUGUAGUCC